GUAUAUGUGUGUGUCUGUGCCACCUUAUUAAAUACAGAGCUAUAUGUUUAUAUAUCCCCCUCUGCAGCUUGUUAUGGUCUAAUCUCACAUGUUGAUUUUGAGAGAUGAUUGUGGUUUGGCCAAUGUACAAUCACAACAAUAUCAGUCACUGACAAGUAACGUGAAUAGAUGGCAUGUCUUGUGACUAGACUCAAACAUGUCAGAGUGAGAUAUAUAUAGAGUGAUAUCGAAGGGGUGAGAGGGUGGUGCAUCUGGCUGUUUUAUAGAACAAGUGUUAAGAGUGAUGACAUUUACCCCUUCCUGUGCCCUCACACACACAUAUCGUUGGAGUCAACCAGUUUAUCUCGCCUUUGGAUUUUCCUGGUGCAGACCAUAAAUGCAAAACCCUUUCUGCCAGUUAGCACAAUACUGCCACACCCAGUAAUGCACAGUGCACUGCAUUUUAGACUUAGUUGUUCUUAUCACAGAGUUCGUCAAAUCACCACUACAUAUUACAAUCAUGUGCACUGAGUGAAUUUAACAAAUAUUAGAUCUACCUACACUAGUCUGGAACUUGUAGCCUACUAACCACUAGUACCCUAAGGUCUCUAUGGGUUGGCUUAUCGGUAUCUGUCUCCCAGACACACAGUCUCCUCCCACCCAGUCUCUCCCCAAAAGAAACUCAGAUCAGAACACAACCAAAAGUAAUAUAUGGACUAUUUUACAACCAUUUUACCACUAAUCUGAGUUUUGAUGUGAAGGGCACUGCUGCCUGUAGGCCAUCUAUGUUUCUCUCUCUAGGGAGUACUGAUGGCACAGCGGAAGUGGAUGCGGAUAUAACGUUUUCUGAAACCCACCCACAACAAUCGCCGCACAUUGAUGGGAUUUGAUUAAUCUGGACCGGGAACUCGUAUAGGCUUGUUUUGCACCGGUUAUUUGGUGUUUCAUUAGGAUCCCCAUUAGUUGUUGCAAAAGCAGCAGCUACUCUUCCUGGGGUCCACACAAAACAUAAUAUGGAAUGACAUAAUACAGAACAUAAUUUAGACCGGGUAAAAAUGGAUUGCAUUCGGUUUGGAACCUGGCUGCCUCCCGGGCGUGAACCAGGUGCAGGUUGACAUUUAUUGCCAUGAGUCUUGUCCUGGAGGCAGCACUGAGCGAUUUCCCAUUCGAUAGGCCAGCUGUAAAGUCAAAAUGGCUAUAUUGUUAGAAUGAAUGCAUUUAAAAUAUAUAUAUAUUUUUGGUCGCAAUUUAAGAUUAGGGUUAUCAGUGUGGUUAAGGUUACACGUAACGGGACAUAGACCGGUGUGCUGCGGCUCGGUAUAAUCGAAUCUGCCCACUGUAUUAUGAAAUGCUCGGAAAAGUUGUGAAAAUAAUCACGGUUUCUCGCACGUUUACACAACUCCACCUGUGCAUGGGAAACGCAGUCAUUCGUGAGUCUGUAAUACUGUAAAAAGAACACAAUUAAUGUUGGACCAGUGAGCCUCACAGGAGGUUGGUGACACCUCCUGUGAUGACGGACUCGUUGUAAUGGCUGGAGCGGAAUCGUGGAAUGAGUUCGCCGAACACAUGGUUUCCAUUCCGUUUCCAUGUGUUUGAUGCCAUUUCCAAUCGUUCUAUCCAUUAUUAUGAGCCGUCCCCCCCUCAGCAGCCUCCGUUGCCAUUGCCAAGCGCAAAGAAUGUACAGGCACACCAUUGAAGACCGAUACAAAGAAGCUGAAGCAGGUUGCAAAAUACAUAGCUGGCGGACUAAGAGCCCAAAAGACCAAGAGAAUGGAAACUGAGAAAGUUCAAAGAAAGGCCAAGCCCACAACUACAGUAGGGGACAACCAACACAAGUAAAUUCUUCCACAAGGCUCCAGUGAAAGAGGAUCCUACUGACAUGACUCCUGAGAGUGAUAUCAUCCCUCCUUUUAUGAGAGCUAGGAUAUACAUGUAUACAGUAAAGCCUGGGGGGAAAAGAAGAGGAAGAUGUUGAGGACAGUGUGGAAGAUGAGAAAGGAAUGAGCACUAGUUUUGCUUGUACAGUGUUUGUUUACAUCACAUGUAGAUUAGUGUUCUCUAUAUGUAGGCCUAUGAUGGCUCCGGUCCUUACUCUGUGUGUCUGGCUGAGCCCUUAGGUCCAGUGGAGCCGGUAGAGCCCUGCCCUCAGCCUGUGGAGACAGAGAUUGAGACCCUUGACAACAUCCGCAAAAAGCUGAAAAGUUGAGAGAUGGUGGAAGAUACCGUCUGUGUAUUUGUGUGUACUCCUUUGGAAAAUCAAGUGUUCCACCAUAGAUAAUACUAUCAGAGACUAGGAUAAUUGUUUAUUUUUCCAAGAUGGAAAUAUUAAUCAAUCAAUCACCAUGACAACUCUGGUGGUAAACCACAUGACUCCAGGGAGAAGAGGAAGGCAGAGUUUGAGACCUACCUGCGACACGAUGAACCGCUUCAACAAAGAUGUGGUGGAGGACACACACACAAGGUCCACCUCGAGUCUUUUAGCCAAUGGGAUGUUCCGGAAUUGGUCGUGUAUUGAACCUGCUGCCCACCCACUUUACCAUGGUGGCCAAGGAACACAUUGACACUAACUACCCCUCUGGCCUGCUCAACUGGCAAGAAGGGCCUUCAAUGUGUGUUUGGGGAAAUGUUCAUGCUCAACCCAGAUCUUCCCUGUGAGUAGAGGCUGGGACCACAGGCCGUGCUGAAGAGGAGGCUGGGCAGCCUCACUGCUAAAGACCACCAGGAAAUGACACUUGAGUGACAUGUAUCCAAAUUGAAGGCACCUUGCAGAAACUUUUGUGCAUGUUCGUCUGUUGCAUAUUCUUUUUUUCGCUGCGAAUGGAGUAUGUUUCUGAGGGAGGACCAUAUUCUUUUGAACAACUUGGGCUCUUAUGGUAUGACUUGUUCUCUCUAGACAUAAAUCAGGCCCAACUUGGUUUGGCUUGAUGGUACUCAACUGAAGCCUGUUUCCUUUGUCUUACCUGCAUGAUGCAACUUUGACCUCUGACCCCUGUGCUUGUCUGUUUCCAUCAGCUGUUUCUGUUGGUGCUUAGGUUGUUGCAGCUCUUGUCGACUGCUGCUCUCUCUGCAGCCCCUGUCACUGAAGCCCCCCCAUCAGCCAAGGGUACUGAAGGCUUUUGGGUCGUUCUACGAAAUGUGUGCAUUUUGCAUCCCUUUGAUAUUUUUAAGUAGAAAUUGUGCACCAAUAUUUGAUUUUAAAAGCCUUUUAUAUUACAUGACGUGCCCUUUAAUAGAGACCACAUGGAGUAUUCAAUAAAUCUGUUUUUUUUUACAUGAAUAAAGACUUGCUAAAGUGCUAAAAUCCCGCAUUUUGAUGUGUCCCUCCGUGCACCCUCUGUGAAUCUAGGAAGAUUUUAACCCACUUAAUCCCAACAUUUUGAUGUGUCCCUCCGUGCACCCUCUGUGAAUCUAGGAAGAUUUUAACCCACUUAAUCCCAACAUUUUGAUGUGUCCCUCCGUGCACCUUCUGUGAAUCUAGGAAGAUUUUAACCCACUUAAUCCCAACAUUUUGAUGUGUCCCUCCGUGCACCCUCUGUGAAUCUAGGAAGAUUUUAACCCACUUAAUCCCAACAUUUUGAUGUGUCCCUCCGUGCACCCUCUGUGAAUCUAGGAAGAUUUUAACCCACUUAAUCCCAACAUUUUGAUGUGUCCCUCCGUGCACCCUCUGUGCAUCUAGGAAGAUUUUAACCCACUUAAUCCCAACAUUUUGAUGUGUCCCUCCAUGCACCCUCUGUGAAUCUAGGAAGAUUUUAACCCACUUAAUCCCAACAUUUCUCCAAGUUGUUGCCAUUAUUGUAAAGCCAUAGUUAUUUUGUUGCUUUGACAGUCAUUUCUUGAGCUUAAUAUUUAUUUAAUCUGAUUAGUGAUUGAUUUACAUCUGUCCCUCAUUUUAAGGUCAACUGUGAACUGAACUCUCAUUUUAAUGUGGUGAAGCUAUUCCUUUUAAAAUAUUUUUUAAACAUCUAAUAGUCAAACCAUAGUGUAAAAGCAGGUGAGCUGGUUCUACCCUUUUUUGGGGGGGAACCAUGUUCUGAUGUUUUGUGGUGGGAAAAUGAGCAGGUCGAACAUAACAACCCUGUGUUACCCAUAGAUAGACAGGCUAGAAAUGUUUUAACGAUUCCAUUUU
Molecule: non-coding RNA, 4105 nt
Organism: Oncorhynchus mykiss (rainbow trout)
Lineage: Eukaryota; Metazoa; Chordata; Actinopteri; Salmoniformes; Salmonidae
Source: RefSeq, a predicted model, not a curated record